This 601-nucleotide ribosomal RNA is filed under the name uncultured bacterium. RNAcentral's name for it is "bacterial SSU rRNA". It matches the Rfam family "Bacterial small subunit ribosomal RNA", at positions 338 to 947 of the family's 1533-position model. The record is from RNAcentral.
CCUACGGGAGGCAGCAGUGGGGAAUAUUGCACAAUGGGCGGAAGCCUGACGCAGCGACGCCGCGUGAGGGAUGACGGCCUUCGGGUUGUAAACCUCUUUCAGCAGGGACGAAGCGCAAGUGACGGUACCUGCAGAAGAAGCGCCGGCCAACUACGUGCCAGCAGCCGCGGUAAGACGUAGGGCGCGAGCGUUGUCCGGAUUUAUUGGGCGUAAAGAGCUCGUAGGCGGCUUGUCGCGUCGACUGUGAAAACCCGCGGCUCAACCGCGGGCCUGCAGCCGAUACGGGCAGGCUAGAGUUCGGUAGGGGAGACUGGAAUUCCUGGUGUAGCGGUGAAAUGCGCAGAUAUCAGGAGGAACACCGAUGGCGAAGGCAGGUCUCUGGGCCGAUACUGACGCUGAGGAGCGAAAGCGUGGGGAGCGAACAGGAUUAGAUACCCUGGUAGUCCACGCUGUAAACGUUGGGCGCUAGGUGUGGGGGACCGUCUCCGGUUCUCUGUGCCGCAGCUAACGCAUUAAGCGCCCCGCCUGGGGAGUACGGCCGCAAGGCUAAAACUCAAAUGAAUUGACGGCUGAGACGNGCGAGACGACGACGAGGGAGAGG